CCCGCACAAGCGGUGGAGCAUGUGGUUUAAUUCGACGCAACGCGCAGAGCCUUACCAGCCCUUGACAUGGGGGUCGCGGGUACCAGAGACGGUACCCUUCAGUUCGGCUGGACCCCACACAGGUGCUGCAUGGCUGUCGUCAGCUCGUGUCGUGAGAUGUUGGGUUAAGUCCCGCAACGAGCGCAACCCUCAUCUUCAGUUGCCAGCGGUUAGGCCGGGCACUCUGAAGAAACUGCCGGUGACAAGCCGGAGGAAGGUGGGGAUGACGUCAAGUCCUCAUGGCCCUUAUGGGCUGGGCUACACACGUGCUACAAUGACGGUGACAACGGGAAGCGACAGGGCGACCUUGAGCUAAUCCCCAAAAGCCGUCUCAGUUCGGAUUGUACUCUGCAACUCGGGUGCAUGAAGGCGGAAUCGCUAGUAAUCGCGGAUCAGCACGCCGCGGUGAAUACGUUCCCGGGCCUU
This 465-nucleotide ribosomal RNA is filed under the name uncultured Defluviicoccus sp. Its description in RNAcentral is "bacterial SSU rRNA". It matches the Rfam family "Bacterial small subunit ribosomal RNA", at positions 920 to 1382 of the family's 1533-position model. Lineage: Bacteria; Pseudomonadati; Pseudomonadota; Alphaproteobacteria; Rhodospirillales; Rhodospirillaceae. The record is from RNAcentral.